RNAcentral lists this ribosomal RNA (468 nucleotides) under uncultured bacterium. Its description in RNAcentral is "partial 16S ribosomal RNA". It matches the Rfam family "Bacterial small subunit ribosomal RNA", at positions 28 to 507 of the family's 1533-position model. The record is from RNAcentral.
GAUGAACGCUGGCGGCGUGCUUAAUACAUGCAAGUCGAACGGACAGGCGCUGCUCUUGUGGGGUGCUCGAGUGGCGAACGGGUGUGUAACACGCGAGUAACAUGCCCUUGUCUUUGGGAUAACUCUUGGAAACUGGGGCUCAUACCGGAUAGGAGCUCCUGAUGCACGGUGGGGGUUGGAAAGUUACGGCUGUUGGGGAUGGUCUCGAGGCUUAUCCGCUAGUUGGUGGGGUAGUGGCUUACCACGGCUUUGACGGGUAGCCGGCCUGGGCGGGUGACCGGCCACAUUGGGACUGCGAUACGGCCCAGACUCCUACGGGACGCAGCAGGGGGGAAUAUUGCACAAUGGGCGGAAGCCUGAUGCAGCAGCGCCGCGUGCGGGAUGACGGCCUUCGGGUUGUAAACCGCUGUCGCCUGUGACGAAGCGUUAGUGACGGUAAUUGGUAAAGAAGCACCGGCUAACUACGUG